This 116-nucleotide ribosomal RNA is filed under the name Legionella pneumophila. The record is from RNAcentral. RNAcentral also lists the same sequence under 6 other names. Lineage: Bacteria; Pseudomonadati; Pseudomonadota; Gammaproteobacteria; Legionellales; Legionellaceae.
CCUGGCGACUAUAGCGAUUUGGAACCACCUGAUACCAUCUCGAACUCAGAAGUGAAACAUUUCCGCGCCAAUGAUAGUGUGAGGCUUCCUCGUGCGAAAGUAGGUCAUCGCCAGGG